Molecule: ribosomal RNA, 1530 nt
Filed under: Klebsiella pneumoniae
Lineage: Bacteria; Pseudomonadati; Pseudomonadota; Gammaproteobacteria; Enterobacterales; Enterobacteriaceae
Description: bacterial SSU rRNA
Rfam family: Bacterial small subunit ribosomal RNA
Source: RNAcentral
UUGAAGAGUUUGAUCAUGGCUCAGAUUGAACGCUGGCGGCAGGCCUAACACAUGCAAGUCGAGCGGUAGCACAGAGAGCUUGCUCUCGGGUGACGAGCGGCGGACGGGUGAGUAAUGUCUGGGAAACUGCCUGAUGGAGGGGGAUAACUACUGGAAACGGUAGCUAAUACCGCAUAAUGUCGCAAGACCAAAGUGGGGGACCUUCGGGCCUCAUGCCAUCAGAUGUGCCCAGAUGGGAUUAGCUAGUAGGUGGGGUAACGGCUCACCUAGGCGACGAUCCCUAGCUGGUCUGAGAGGAUGACCAGCCACACUGGAACUGAGACACGGUCCAGACUCCUACGGGAGGCAGCAGUGGGGAAUAUUGCACAAUGGGCGCAAGCCUGAUGCAGCCAUGCCGCGUGUGUGAAGAAGGCCUUCGGGUUGUAAAGCACUUUCAGCGGGGAGGAAGGCGUUAAGGUUAAUAACCUUGGCGAUUGACGUUACCCGCAGAAGAAGCACCGGCUAACUCCGUGCCAGCAGCCGCGGUAAUACGGAGGGUGCAAGCGUUAAUCGGAAUUACUGGGCGUAAAGCGCACGCAGGCGGUCUGUCAAGUCGGAUGUGAAAUCCCCGGGCUCAACCUGGGAACUGCAUUCGAAACUGGCAGGCUAGAGUCUUGUAGAGGGGGGUAGAAUUCCAGGUGUAGCGGUGAAAUGCGUAGAGAUCUGGAGGAAUACCGGUGGCGAAGGCGGCCCCCUGGACAAAGACUGACGCUCAGGUGCGAAAGCGUGGGGAGCAAACAGGAUUAGAUACCCUGGUAGUCCACGCCGUAAACGAUGUCGAUUUGGAGGUUGUGCCCUUGAGGCGUGGCUUCCGGAGCUAACGCGUUAAAUCGACCGCCUGGGGAGUACGGCCGCAAGGUUAAAACUCAAAUGAAUUGACGGGGGGCCCGCACAAGCGGUGGAGCAUGUGGUUUAAUUCGAUGCAACGCGAAGAACCUUACCUGGUCUUGACAUCCACAGAACUUUCCAGAGAUGGAUUGGUGCCUUCGGGAACUGUGAGACAGGUGCUGCAUGGCUGUCGUCAGCUCGUGUUGUGAAAUGUUGGGUUAAGUCCCGCAACGAGCGCAACCCUUAUCCUUUGUUGCCAGCGGUUAGGCCGGGAACUCAAAGGAGACUGCCAGUGAUAAACUGGAGGAAGGUGGGGAUGACGUCAAGUCAUCAUGGCCCUACGGGGCUACACGUGCUACAAUGGCAUAUACAAAGAGAAGCGACCUCGCGAGAGCAAGCGGACCUCAUAAAGUAUGUCGUAGUCCGGAUUGGAGUCUGCAACUCGACUCCAUGAAGUCGGAAUCGCUAGUAAUCGUAGAUCAGAAUGCUACGGUGAAUACGUUCCCGGGCCUUGUACACACCGCCCGUCACACCAUGGGAGUGGGUUGCAAAAGAAGUAGGUAGCUUAACCUUCGGGAGGGCGCUUACCACUUUGUGAUUCAUGACUGGGGUGAAGUCGUAACAAGGUAACCGUAGGGGAACCUGCGGUUGGAUCACCUCCUU